UGGGCUAUCGUAUUGAUUAGCUCCCACUAAUUUUAACAUAUCUUACGCCCCCAACGUAAAACACGAAUUUAUAAUCCAUAUAAAUUUUAGUGGUCCAAGAUCCAAGUCAAUAUUAUGCAGCCUCUGCUUUGCUGAUGACUACAAUAAUAUUACUUAGUAGGCCUCUAAGCCAAUUGCAACAACAAUUUUGCAACUCUUGGUUGAUUAAUCAAAUUAAUCUGCGUCCUUAAAUUAUUCUUGGUCGCUUUGCGUUCCAAAAUAAUUUAAGUAAGUCAACCCCAUCACACGGUGCCAACCUAUGAAUGAGCCUUGGCCUUGUAGAUUAGAGCAUACAAUUUUAUGUAAAUACUCUUGAUCGAAAAGGAUGGGUUGCUCAGACAAUUAUGAUGGACGACGCGUUUUGUGCUUACACAAAGACUUAUAUUUAAUGGGGAUUUAGCAUGUGAUACUAAUUGCUUAUAUUUAAUAUCCAAUAUUAAAUAGCAACACAAUUACUGGGUGCCGCCUACCCAGGCAUAUAAAAUGCGGACCACACAUAUUGGGCGCCGCCUACCCAUACAUAGCAAAGCGGACUACAUAUAUUGGGCGCCGCCUACCCAAGAUAAAUGCGGUCUUUAACUACUAUAGUUAAAUAAUAAGCAUAAAAUCAAAUAACAUGCUUAUCACAUAAAGACAUAAAAUCUCUACGAAUAAAAUCAUUAAUCAAAUUAAUAUUUUAUUCUCUAAUUAAAUAUGGAUUAAUCAAUUUAUAUUAAUUCUAAAUUAAUAUAAAUUUAUUUCUAUUAUUAUUAAUUCUAAACUAAUAACAAUAAUUUAAAUCUAUUAAUCCAAUUAAUAAAUUAAUUCUGAAAUUGGGAUUCAAUUAUUAAUUCUAAAUUAAUAAAAGUUUUUUUUUUUUUUUUUUUUUAUAUUAUAUUAUACAGUUUUAGAUAAGAUGCCGAGCCUCUUACAUUAAAAUUCGCAAGCCCAGCCGAUAAUAAAAGAAACAGAAGCCCAGCAGCACCAAGCCCAUACCGGGCCCAAACAUCUUAAAGCCCAAAAUCCAAUUUUUUAGCAGCAGCCGCUGCUUCCUUGUCGUUCCCGUCAGCCACGCCGCCCGUCAGCCCGCCGCCGCCGCCGCCGCGCAUGAAGCGACGACGCCAUCAGACGUCGCGCGUCCACGCCGGAGGUCUCCACGCCGGUUGCGGCUCGAAGCCGCGUCGGAGGGGACGCGUUUUCAGCGGAGGAAGAAGCGGCGCCUUUGAAUCGAGGUGCGACGCAGACGGCGGCGAGUGGUCGGGCGCGGCGCACCGGCGAGCCCCGACCCACCUGCGCCGCCUCGUCAAUCACCCACGCCCUCUGCAUCGGCGGUGGUCGAUGGCAGCAGCAGGCGAAAGGCUCGUAGGUUCAUCCAAUGAACAUCCAAUUUCAGAAAACCAAUUCUCAAAACAAAUUUCGAAAAUUUCUAAUUCCAAAUUGAAUUUCGAUUUUCGAAAACAGAUUUCUAAAAUCAGAUUUUUCUUAACCCAUAAACAAUUAGAACACAAUAGUAAUUGUAAAUCGAGCCCCGGGCUCUGAUACCACUGUUGGUUAUCCUUGACAUCAUCUAAUGAUACGCAGCGGAAUAUACAUUCAAGGAUUAGAUCUAGAUUUACAAAUGCAUCAUGUAUAGAGAUAGAUACACAACAAUUAGAAUAACUUACUUGUUAUGUGGUAAACGUAGCGUCUCGAUUCGUGUCGUGAAUCCAGCUACUAACGGAUCCACGGUUUUGUUCGCUAAUAUUUUCACCACGCCGCAAGUAUACGGUGUAGUUGCAAUAUAAGGGAAGCAAGGUCGUAUUCCACAAGGAUUGGUGAAUUUAAACUUCUAAAUAUUAUUAAUAAGUUGUUUUCAAUCUAUUUAGACAACCAAAGUUCAAGAGGUAUUGAAAACUAAAACAAAGCUAAAUUAAAGCAAGCAAAGUAAAUAACAAUAACAUAAACUUAGUUAAUAAAUUGGGGAAUGACUCGAAGGAAAGUUAUCCUAGGGACUAGAUUUCGAUGGAUCGUAAUGAACUUCAAUCUAAAUCAAUAUAAAUCUUGAUAUGGCCUACUUAUCUAGGGCGAUCUCCCCACUAGUUUUAGCCCCCUCCCGGACGACUAAAACAGUAGAUUACGGGUCAUAAUUGCCGUCCCCGGUCAAUUUCUAACCUAUAACUCCCAAGAGCACAAAAGAUCAACAAGCCCUCACCCACCUCUCAACCUCCCGGUUUAUUGAGAUGAUAUGUAUCAAACUCCUAAUCUAUUGUAAUUAUCCUCUCCCGAUUCAAAUCACAAAUUAGAAAUGCACAAAAGGUGGCCAACCAAUCAUACAAGAGAUAAAUCUAGGACUUGAAAAGAUAACAAUAAGCACAAUCAAGAUAUAUAUUGAACAAAGAAAUCAAUCCAUUACAAAUCCAUCUAAUCUAAUCCCUAAGAUAAGAGAUUUUAGCCAAGCAUAUUCAUAAUAAAAGCAAAUCUCAAGUCAUAAGAAAACAUAAAUAAAGAUAUAGAGAGAUAGAGAUUCAUAGACAAAUCCUAUAAUCUUGAUCUUCAAUCAUGUAGUCUUGAUGAGCUCCUUUCCAAGUCUUCCCCUUCUUUAUUUGAUUUUGGUGUUGUUUUUGUGUGUGGAAGAGAGAAAAAAUGGUAGAGAAUGGAGGCUAGGGUUUGGGAUUGGAGAGUUGGGGAAGAUGAAGUGGGUGUGUGUGGUGAAUGAUGUUAGAAAAGAAGGGAAAAAUGGAGUUUUGGGGCUAAAAUCGCGUCUGGGGCCCACUUGGGGGAAGCCCCGCCCUUUUCCCGCGGUCACGGCCCGCGUCCGCGGCCUUCAAACGUGGGGGAUGCUCAGGGGACCCGCGGUCCCGCCCGCGGCCGCGGGUGGUGACCGCGGGUGACUCCUGGAGUCGGGAACAGCUGACCCGCGGUCCCACCCCGCGGCCGCGGGUGGUGACCGCGGGGUACUGGGCGUUUUGCACAGUCCGCUCGUUUUGCUCCGUUCUCCCUCGUCCGGACUCGGAUUUGGUCGCCGUUUGCGCUCACGGAUUCCUCUCGAGACGUACUUCAAUCUCAUAUCUUCAAAAUCCUCCAAUUAAUCCUUGAUUUUUCCUGAAAUUACUCCAAAACUACACCAAGACAUCAAAUCUUCAUAAAACUCAACAUUAUGGUACAAACACGCAUUGGCAAACAAAACAUGAAGGAAAAUGACAACAAAUCAUGUGGAAUUGAGGUACGAAAACCAUGUUUGUCAAGCCCCCAAACUUAAAGCGUUGUUUGUCCCCAAACAACAAAGAGAAGAGAAAUAAAAGACAACAAACAUGUGAGAAUGAAUUGGUGUCAUUUCAAGGGCUUCAACAAUUUCAAAAAUCUUUCAAAAAUGUAUCACAAGUAGAAAUGCAUUCCAAGAAAUCACAAGUGAUGAAGAGUUCAAUAUUAUGGCCUCCAAGCUUGAAUCCUCACAAAUGUGGAUGUUUCAAUGAUGCACUCAACUCUCAAGUGUUUAGGUUGCACUCAAAUUGAAACAAUGUAUGCAAUCUACCAUAAGCUUGCCAUUUAUCCUAACUCUCUAUACUUCAAUGUGUUAUAAAUAAUGAUCAACAAGGGCUUUUCUUUAGGUUGCAAUGAGGGCUCUUUGGUGAGGUAAGGUGUUUAUAGGCAAAGUGACUCAUAUAUAAUUCCCAAAUUGAAUAAGUCAUACUCACCAUUGUUCUUUUCAAAUCAAUCAAUAACCAAUAUCCCCACAUUUCUUCUUUUUCACCCUAUGAAUACUUAUCAAGAUCAUGAUUCAAAAGGCAAAUCACUCCCCUUUAUACUUCCUUUAUUCAACAUUUCUUUUUGCUUUUCUUUUUCUUUUCUUUUAUUUUGGAGCUCAUAGGGGACUAGUGAUUUUCACUCAAUCAAAGUUAGACAAGUAAUUUCAAUCAUUUCCCAUACAUUUUCAUCAAAGUAACCACUAACAAUCUAAGUUCUACCCAUCAUUGGUUAAUUCAAAGAAAGGCUAUAAGGCACAAAGAUGGUAAACUAGGAUCGCAUGAGAAUUUGGACACAAUUUAAGUAAAGUGGCUAACAAGGAUGGCCUUAAAUCACUUCAAUAUUAACAACACAUCUACUUUUAUUUUCAAGAGAGGACUCAUGGCAAGUUCUAGAGAUCAACACACAUGCUCAAAUGAUUUACACUCAAGAACAAAAUGAGAUUGUAAAUGUAUGACAAUCAAAUGCUCAAUUCUCACAAGCUCAUUUUCUUUUUCAAGUUCUUGGAGGUAUAACAUUUAGCUCACUUGUCACAAGUUCAAACUUUUCAUGCAUAAUCCACAAGUGAUACACACAAUUUUUCCAAAAGCAACAUUCAUAUCAUAAGCCCAACACACAUUUCAUCCAACUCAUGUUUUCAACAAUCAAGCUCAAAAACAAAAGACAAGGAAAAGCUCAAAAACAGAGACAAAAUCUCAUUAUUCGAAAACUAAACUAACUAAAUAAAUAAACAACGGAUAAACGAGAUAAGUAACCCAUCUUCACCCUCCCCCCAAACUUAUUUCACACAAAGGAGAAAUAAGUUUGGAUGAAGGAGAAAAUGGUUACUUGUCUCGUACUCACAAACGAGGUGGAGGCUUAGGCGGUGGCCAUUUCUCAUCAAAUUUGCAUGCUCCAUCCACCGCGACCCAAAAAUAUGGUGGCUUUGCAAUUCUUGAGACAUCCCGGGCGUCAUGGUAAUCUCGUUCACCAUCUAGAGUAUCACCACACUCAAACAAUUCCUUAUUAGGCAAAUCAAAAUAAAAAUCAAAAGAUGAACAUAAAUAAAAGUGAAAGAAGCAAGCCUUCGUAGAAUCGCCCGUGUCGAGGUAAGGAUCGACAAAAUCUAUGACUUUGCAUUCUUUGAAGCUUGUGCAGUCUUCAUCUUUUUGGAAUUGUAGAGGUUGCAUUGGAAAAGUUGGGCUCUCGACUUCAAGGGNUCUUCUGCUUGUACUCCUUUUGGAAGACGUGGCAGUAGAGCUCACCAUGAGCACAGAUUUGCCUUUAGAGGUGGAAGACUCAUAGGUCUUCAACAUGUUAUGAAGCUCAGGCAGGCUUGCCUUCGUGCCGUUCAUAUUGAAGUUCACAAUGAAGUUUUCAAAUGAGGCGGGCAAAGACUGCAAAAUCAGAUUGACAGAGACAGUAGCGGGUAGCAUUGUUCCAAUCGAUGCCAACCUCUCAAUCAACCCGAUCAUCUUCAGUACAUGAUCAGAAACCUGACCCCCAUCAUGAAGCUUACAUUUAAAGAGAUCUCGGAGUAUCUCAUACUCCAUAGUCUGAGCUUCUGAAGCAUACAGACUCUUCAAGUGUUUCAGCAUAUCAUAAGGGAACAUGUGUUCGUGUUGCCUCUGUAACUCCGUAGUCAUAGAGGACAACAUCACACAUUGUGCCGAUGUUGCAUCCUCGACAUGCUUCUUGUGAGCAGCCUCAUCAAAUGAUGCAUACUCAGCAGACUGCUUGUCAGGAAUGACAGUGAUUGGGUUGUUCAAGACAUACUCAAUCUUCUCUAGCCUUAAGACCAGACGCAAGCAACGGAGCCAAUCCGUGAAGUUUGACCCAGUCAACUUGUUUGUUUCUAUCAAACAUUUCAGUGACAAAUUCGACAUAUUAUCUGAUCAAUAAUAAAGAAAAGCAAAUUAGAAAGAAUAAACUAUGAUCACAUUGUAUCACUAAUCAAACAAUGGGAUAUCGUAUUGAUUAGCUCCCACUAAUUUUAACAUAUCUUACGCCCCCAACGUAAAAUACGAAUUUAUAAUCCAUAUAAAUCUUAGUGGUCCAAGAUCCAAGUCAAUAUUAUGCAGCCUCUGCUUUGCUGAUGACUACAAUAAUAUUACUUAGAAGGCCUCUAAGCCAAUUGCAACAACAAUUUUGCAACUCUUGGUUGAUUAAUCAAAUUAAUCUGCGUCCUUAAAUCAUUCUUGGUCGCUUUACGUUCCAAAAUAAUUUAAGUAAGUCAACCCCAUCACACGGUGCCAACCUAUGAAUGAGUCUUGGCCUUGUCGAUUUAGAGUAUACAAUUUUAUGUAAAUACCCU
RNAcentral lists this long non-coding RNA (6034 nucleotides) under Salvia miltiorrhiza (redroot sage). RNAcentral describes it as "long non-coding RNA (SMIL_LNC006278)". Lineage: Eukaryota; Viridiplantae; Streptophyta; Magnoliopsida; Lamiales; Lamiaceae. The record is from RNAcentral.